Molecule: transfer RNA, 72 nt
Filed under: Aeromonas hydrophila
Lineage: Bacteria; Pseudomonadati; Pseudomonadota; Gammaproteobacteria; Aeromonadales; Aeromonadaceae
Description: tRNA-Gly
Rfam family: tRNA
About the family: Transfer RNA (tRNA) molecules are approximately 80 nucleotides in length. Their secondary structure includes four short double-helical elements and three loops (D, anti-codon, and T loops). Further hydrogen bonds mediate the characteristic L-shaped molecular structure. tRNAs have two regions of fundamental functional importance: the anti-codon, which is responsible for specific mRNA codon recognition, and the 3' end, to which the tRNAs corresponding amino acid is attached (by aminoacyl-tRNA synthetases). tRNAs cope with the degeneracy of the genetic code in two manners: having more than one tRNA (with a specific anti-codon) for a particular amino acid; and 'wobble' base-pairing, i.e. permitting non-standard base-pairing at the 3rd anti-codon position.
Source: RNAcentral
GCGGGAAUAGCUCAGUUGGUAGAGCACGACCUUGCCAAGGUCGGGGUCGCGAGUUCGAGUCUCGUUUCCGCC